CAUUUUCUCUGCCCCUCCACACCUGAGCAAUGUUGCCGUAGCAUGUGAUCUUCUUCUCCUACUGCUUUGGAUCAUUAAUACUCUUCUUUGGGAGCUCAAUUUGCUUAAAAUCCAUUUUCAAGAGUGGAUUUGAAGUUGGGUGCAGGAAAGCUCGACACAUACACCCCAUAGUGAGCAAAUCAACCUCCAGGUUUAUCAUUACUAAAUCGACUGUCGAGAAUUUUCUGAUAUUUGAAGUAGUGUAGGCUUAUAUAACAUUUCACUUUUUUGAAUCCUUUGUGGAUAUUUAAAUAUUGGUCAAGUGAAAAACCUUAUGUUUUAGCCUUCCCUACCCCAUUAUCCAUUAAUAGGUGAUACUCUUAAGUACGGGUACUUUAGGUUGUCUCUGUUGAUGCUCUUUUUUCCUAUUUUUUCCAUAUUGUUAAAACGCACAAAAAUGACGUUACCUUUUAUCUAUUGCUAGAUUUGCAAGGUAAUCUGCAAGUUGAUUGCCCUUCCUUAUGGUAUGCUAAAAUUUUGUUUGCUUUUCUGC
Capsicum annuum is the source of this 532-nucleotide long non-coding RNA. RefSeq lists it as uncharacterized. The record is from RefSeq and is a predicted model, not a curated record. The transcript has 2 exons. NCBI's taxonomy places the organism in Eukaryota, Viridiplantae, Streptophyta, Magnoliopsida, Solanales, Solanaceae.